AAUAGCCUAACGGCUGAACCAGCAACUUGGAGGAAUGUAUAGCAGUAGCUAAUUGCACCAGCUGCAAUAUCGAAUUGAAUAAAAUUCUAGGCAGAGCUAUGAUAAUGACAUUGUCUGUCUAUGUGUCUUGACAAAAUUACGUGCCAGCAGUCGCGGUAAUACGUAGAAGACUAGUGUUAUUCAUCUUUAAUAGGUUUAAAGGGUACCUAGACGGUGAAUCAAGCCUUAAGGAACUGAUUUACUAGAGUUACUUGUGAGGGGGUAUUAAAGUACUAGUGGUGAAGAGAUGAAAUUUGUUUAUACCUUUUUUCGAGAGAAAGUUACGGCACAGAUUUAGGCGAAAGCAUCCCCUUAUGUGAUAGCUUUGUAUCGCGAACAGGAUUAGAUACCCCAGUAGUCAAAGCAGAAAAUGAUGAAUGUCAUAGAUUAAUUUAUUCUAUAAAUGAAAGUGUAAGCAUUCCACCUCAAGAGUAAUUUGGCAACAUUGGAACUGAAAUCAUUAGACCGUUUCUGAAACCAGUAGUGAAGUAUGUUAUUUAAUUUGAUAAUCCGCAAAAAACCUUACCAUGAAUAUUUACAAGCGUUGCACGGCUGUCUUUAGUUAAUGUCGUGAGAUUUUGGCCUUCCAUUAAAUUAACGUAAACCCUUGCUUUAUUUUUAUAUAAAGUAGUUCUCCGCUAUAUUGGAUAAGAUAACAGGGAUUAAGACAAGUCAUCAUGGCCUUAAUAUU
RNAcentral lists this ribosomal RNA (730 nucleotides) under Lecidea turgidula. RNAcentral's name for it is "SSU rRNA". It matches the Rfam family "Bacterial small subunit ribosomal RNA", at positions 370 to 1208 of the family's 1533-position model. The record is from RNAcentral. Lineage: Eukaryota; Fungi; Ascomycota; Lecanoromycetes; Lecideales; Lecideaceae.